AUGGACGCCUUCUUCGACGAGGCCAUCGUGGAGCUAUUCGUCAGAACCGGCGUGGCGCCCGCGGACGUCGACAUGCUCGUCGUCAACGUCUCCCUCAUCUCCCCGGCGCCGUCGCUUGCCUGCAGGGUCGUGCCCCGCUUCGGCAUGCGGGAGGACGUCGCCGCGUACAGCCUCUCCAGCAUGAGGUGUGGCGCCGGCCUGGAAUGCGAUGCGGCCAUGCGGGCACGGUCGGUGUCCAUGCUGGCCCUCGUGGUCUCGUCCGAGUCCAUCGCUCCCAGCUGGUACACCGGCACCGACCGGUCCAUGAUGCUGGGCAACUGCCUCUUACGCUCCGGAGGGACGAGCCGUCGCCGGGAGCACCGUCAGCAUCUUCAGUGUUGUUCCUGGAUUAAUUCCAGACUUUUCGGUGGUGUUCGUUCAGUGCGAGAAGACUUUCCCGAUUGA
This 444-nucleotide ribosomal RNA is filed under the name Triticum aestivum (bread wheat). RNAcentral describes it as "partial small subunit ribosomal RNA". The record is from RNAcentral. Lineage: Eukaryota; Viridiplantae; Streptophyta; Magnoliopsida; Poales; Poaceae.